CUUUUGCGGCGAUGUUCUUCCCCGAUUUAGCGCGUGCAAUUGCGUGAAUAGUUUCGUCGUAUUUGGGGUCCGGUUUUGGGAACUCCGGUUCUGGGUCUGGAAGAAUGACGGCGGCGGCGGAGUUGCUGAAGAACCGGAGGUGGUAGUGGUGGAGGGAGGCGGUCAGUGCUACGCGUCGGAUCAACAUUUUUUUUUUGAAUGUGAUAUGGAAGAACGACGGCGGCGGCGGAGUUGCUGAAGAACCGGAGGUGGUAGUGGUGGAGGGAGGCGGUCAGUGCUACGCGUCGGAUCAACAUUUUUUUUUUGAAUGUGAUCGAGUCCGAGACACUGUGAGGAAUGGGGCGGAGGGGCUUAACGAGGGUUUUUAGUGGACUGACCAGUGGGCUGUAAAACUCAAUGCGUUAUGUUCGGAACUAGUUACGGUUAGUCCGGGCUGUGCCCGCCCCAAC
RNAcentral lists this long non-coding RNA (449 nucleotides) under Nicotiana benthamiana. RNAcentral's name for it is "long non-coding RNA (NBEN_LNC034648)". The record is from RNAcentral. Lineage: Eukaryota; Viridiplantae; Streptophyta; Magnoliopsida; Solanales; Solanaceae.